This 574-nucleotide ribosomal RNA is filed under the name Salmonella enterica. Its description in RNAcentral is "partial 23S ribosomal RNA". It matches the Rfam family "Bacterial large subunit ribosomal RNA", at positions 2246 to 2819 of the family's 2925-position model. Lineage: Bacteria; Pseudomonadati; Pseudomonadota; Gammaproteobacteria; Enterobacterales; Enterobacteriaceae. The record is from RNAcentral.
UGCGGACAGUGUCUGGUGGGUAGUUUGACUGGGGCGGUCUCCUCCUAAAGAGUAACGGAGGAGCACGAAGGUUGGCUAAUCCUGGUCGGACAUCAGGAGGUUAGUGCAAUGGCAUAAGCCAGCUUGACUGCGAGCGUGACGGCGCGAGCAGGUGCGAAAGCAGGUCAUAGUGAUCCGGUGGUUCUGAAUGGAAGGGCCAUCGCUCAACGGAUAAAAGGUACUCCGGGGAUAACAGGCUGAUACCGCCCAAGAGUUCAUAUCGACGGCGGUGUUUGGCACCUCGAUGUCGGCUCAUCACAUCCUGGGGCUGAAGUAGGUCCCAAGGGUAUGGCUGUUCGCCAUUUAAAGUGGUACGCGAGCUGGGUUUAGAACGUCGUGAGACAGUUCGGUCCCUAUCUGCCGUGGGCGCUGGAGAACUGAGGGGGGCUGCUCCUAGUACGAGAGGACCGGAGUGGACGCAUCACUGGUGUUCGGGUUGUCAUGCCAAUGGCACUGCCCGGUAGCUAAAUGCGGAAGAGAUAAGUGCUGAAAGCAUCUAAGCACGAAACUUGCCCCGAGAUGAGUUCUCCCUGAG